RNAcentral lists this ribosomal RNA (250 nucleotides) under uncultured prokaryote. Its description in RNAcentral is "partial 16S ribosomal RNA". It matches the Rfam family "Bacterial small subunit ribosomal RNA", at positions 524 to 774 of the family's 1533-position model. The record is from RNAcentral.
UACGGAAGAUGCGAGCGUUAUCCGGAUUUAUUGGGUUUAAAGGGAGCGUAGGCGGACGCUUAAGCCUGCGGUAAAAUGUCGGCGCCCAACGCCGGUGUGCCGUGGGAACUGGGUGUCUUGAAUGUGCACAAGGCAGGUGGAAUUCGUGGUGUAGCGGUGAAAUGCUUAGAUAUCACGAAGAACUCCGAUUGCGAAGGCAGCCUGCUGGGGCAUGAUUGACGCUGAGGCUCGAAAGCGCGGGGAUCAAACA